Molecule: unclassified non-coding RNA, 301 nt
Filed under: Hevea brasiliensis (rubber tree)
Lineage: Eukaryota; Viridiplantae; Streptophyta; Magnoliopsida; Malpighiales; Euphorbiaceae
Source: RNAcentral
CCGCCUCUUAGCCCUAACAGUCUGAUACUGCUUGGUGUGUUUGAUUUGUUUGUUUAGUUGUGGUAAGAACUUUGGAGUUUGGUGAAGAGCUGCUACGCACAGCUAACCUGCUGCCACAGAAGCUUCAAGUGGAAAGAAGCAAACAACUUUCAAACUCAUAAGAACUAAUAGCAAACCAUCUAGAAUUCUUAACACAAAUUUAAGCAAUACAAAUUAACCAAGAUCCAAUAACCUUGUGUUGAUCAUUAUGACCAAAAUGAAUGAAGAUUUUACCUUCUCCACUGUAAUCACACGGCCUUCA